AAUGAACGCUGGCGGCGUGCCUUACACAUGCAAGUCGAGCGAGGCGGCCCGCAAGGGUCAGUCGAGCGGCGGACGGGUGAGUAACGCGUGGAUAACCUGCCCAGAGGUGGGGGAUAACCCGGGGAAACUCGGGCUAAUACCGCAUGAUACCGAGAGGUCAAAGGGGGCUCGCAAGAGCUCUCGCCAUUGGAGGGGUCCGCGUCCGAUUAGCUAGUUGGUAGGGUAAUGGCCUACCAAGGCGACGAUCGGUAGCCGGCCUGAGAGGGUGAUCGGCCACACUGGAACUGAGACACGGUCCAGACUCCUACGGGAGGCAGCAGUGGGGAAUUUUGCGCAAUGGGCUAACGCCUGACGCAGCAACGCCGCGUGGAGGAUGAAGGUCUUUGGAUUGUAAACUCCUGUCAGCAGGGAAAAAGCAAAUCGGCCUAACACGCCGGUGAGUUGAUUGUACCUGCAGAGGAAGCCCCGGCUAACUCUGUGCCA
RNAcentral lists this ribosomal RNA (483 nucleotides) under uncultured bacterium. RNAcentral describes it as "bacterial SSU rRNA". It matches the Rfam family "Bacterial small subunit ribosomal RNA", at positions 29 to 510 of the family's 1533-position model. The record is from RNAcentral.